RNAcentral lists this ribosomal RNA (1210 nucleotides) under metagenome. RNAcentral describes it as "bacterial SSU rRNA". It matches the Rfam family "Bacterial small subunit ribosomal RNA", at positions 190 to 1434 of the family's 1533-position model. The record is from RNAcentral.
UGAAGCGCUGGUGAAAGAUUUAUCGCUAUCAGAGGAGCCUGCGGCCUAUCAGCUUGUUGGUGAGGUAAUGGCUCACCAAGGCAGUGACGGGUAGCUGGUCUGAGAGGAUGACCAGUCACAAGGGAACUGAGAUACGGUCCCUACUCCUACGGGAGGCAGCAGUUGGGAAUAUUGGACAAUGGGCGAAAGCCUGAUCCAGCGACGCCGCGUGGUUGAAGAAGCCCUUCGGGGUGUAAAAACCUUUUAACUGGGAUGAUUAUGACAGCACCAGUUGAAUAAGUGCCGGCUAACUACGUGCCAGAAGCCUCGGUUAAACGUAGGGCACAAGCAUUAUCCGGAAUUAUUGGGCGUAAAGCGUGACUAGGUGGUUUAUUUCAUUUCUAGUAAAAUUUCAAAGCUUAACUUUGAAUUUGCCAGAAAUAUGAAUAAACUAGAGACCAUUAGAGGUGCAUAGAAUUGCCGGUGUAGGAGUGAAAUCCGUUGAUAUCGGCAGGAAUACCAAUGGCGAAGGCAGUGCACUAGAAUGGUUCUGACACUCAAGCACGAAAGCGUGGGUAGCGAAAGGGAUUAGAUACCCCUGUAGUCCACGCCCUAAACGAUGCAGACUAAAUAUCAGGAGUAUCGACCCUCCUUGUAUUAAAGCUAACGCGUUAAGUCUGCCGCCUGGGAACUACGGUCGCAAGACUAAAACUCAAAGGAAUUGACGGGGGCUUGCACAAGCGGUGGAGCAUGUGGUUUAAUUCGACGAUAAGCGAAGAACCUUACCAGGACUUGACAUCUCAGGAACCCUGCAGAAAUGCGGGGGUGCCUUCGGGAACCUGAUGACAGGUGCUGCACGGUUGUCGUCAGCUCGUGUUGUGAAAUGUUCCGUUAAGUCGGCUAACGAGCGAAACCCUCAUUGCCAAUUGUAUUUCUUUGGCGAAACUGCCUCGAUUAACGGGGAGGAAGGUGAGGAUGACGUCAAAUCAGCGUUGCUCUUACGUCCUGGGCGACACACGUGCUACAAUGGCGAUUACAAAGGGUUGCAAGACCGCAAGGUGGAGCUAAUCCCCAAAAAUCGUCCCAGUUCGGAUUGAAGGCUGAAACUCGCCUUCAUGAAGCUGGAAUCGCUAGUAACCGUGGAUCAGCCAUGUCACGGUGAAUACGUUCUCAAGCCUUGUACACACCGCCCGUCACGCGAGCCGAGUCAGUAACACCUGAAGUCCUACCU